GACGAACGCUGGCGGCGUGCUUAACACAUGCAAGUCGAACGCUGAAGCCGCUUCUGUGGGGGAUGCUCGGCGAACGGAUGGGUAACACGCAGGCAACCUGCCCCCGGCUCUGGGAUAACUCAAUGCAGUUGAGGGUGAUACCGACUGUGAACGCUCGCCGCAUGCUUGGGUGGGGGAAGGGGUUUUCGGCUGGGGGUGGGCCCGCGGCCUAUCAGCUUGUUGGUGGGGUAGUGGCUUACCAAGGCGACGACGGGUAGCCGGCCUGAGAGGGUGACCGGCCACACUGGGACUGAGAUACGGCCCAGACUCCUACGGGAGGCAGCAGUGGGGAAUAUUGCGCAAUGGGCGGAAGCCUGACGCAGCGACGCCGCGUGGGGGAUGACGGCCUUCGGGUUGUAAACCUCUUUCGGCAGGGACGAAGCGUGAGUGACGGUACCGGCAGAAGAAGCACCGGCCAACUACGUG
RNAcentral lists this ribosomal RNA (465 nucleotides) under uncultured bacterium. Its description in RNAcentral is "partial 16S ribosomal RNA". It matches the Rfam family "Bacterial small subunit ribosomal RNA", at positions 28 to 507 of the family's 1533-position model. The record is from RNAcentral.